UUCAUUUCUUUAUCUAAAAUUGUACUCAAUACAGCAUCCCAGGAAAAUGUAUUAAACCAAUUCUCAAAUGAUGGCAUAACGGGCAAUUUCUCACUUUGAAGUCCAAGUUUCAAUCAGCGAUAUUUUUAACUGCAGGUUCAACUACUUCUUUUUAAGCAUAGAUAUUUUUUUAUAUCUCUUUUUGCCCCCUUUAUGGCUCUCUACUCUCUAUUCCUAGGAAAAUGUCUUUCAGCGAAAUUUCAAAAAGUACUUGCAUUUUUUUGGUUUACUCAUGAAUUGAACGCAAAACUGUCUUGUUAGGCUCAAUGUAGUAAUGACAUCUGACCCUUCAAAAAACAAAUAUUGACAUUUUUCGUCACAGCCGGAGUGUCCAAUCAGAAAAAUGUACCUCUCCUCCAAAUUUCUUCCAAAUUUUUCUUUGCAGUUUUGUUGUUAGGCAAAAUGUUUCUACAGAUCUGGGUGUUUCCUUGGAAAUUUUUAAACCACCUGGUGUGACAAACACAGAAAAGAGAAGACAAAAAAUAGGGGCCAAAGGAAUUAAGAGCUGAAACUGUCCAUCUUCUUCUAUCGUGGCCUUACUCUUAUAAAUAGCGCUAAUUUUUUCCAUGGGGGGGUUCGUUUGCGUUGACUAGCUGACGGCCUACUGUGCUGAGACAAAUGGUCAAUCCUCUGAUGUAAGGGUGUAUCUCUACUUCGACAUGAGCCCCAAAAAGCAUGGAGUUUCAUGUGCAUCAAGGCUCAAGUGGAAAUCGAGGUACGCCCUUAUGUCAGAGGAGCGACGAAAUUCUUGACUUAAGAAUCGUGUGAUCUGCGAAAGGAACGGAUGUAGAAAAUAUCAUCGAACCUGCGUCGUCGCAUCAAUUUAUAUUUCAGCCUCGCAGAAUCGGAGCAAUUUGUUUGGACCUGCCGCGCCGUUGGACAGCCGGUCUUGUUGCCAAAUAGAGUAUAAAAUUCGAUACGAUACUUAAGGAAGAAUAUCACUUUUAGGGCCCUUGACUUCAGAGUGUAAACAAAUCCGUCUGAAUGCAAGCGAAGACGAGGGUGUAUUAAGACGAGGAUUGCAAAUUUUGUUCACUUGCCGCCGCCGGGAUGUGGCAUGUCCACGAUUCUCCAGGAUCGAAACUUAUUGUCGUAGGCACUCGGGACGUCUCCACUCGUCUGCGAUCCCCAUAGGAAGGACGACGACCCGCAUUUUCCGUCCGAGUAGAACUUAACAACUUUGGUUUGGUCCUUGACGUCAGCCGAGAUCUUAACCGAAGAGACCUGCCCGGCGGUGUUUUUUCAAUCCAGAUGCACUGAUUCAGUGUACUAUCCGCCCCCGAACCUGGAGUACCGUAGCCCUUUUCAUUGUACACGUCAACUCUGUAAGCGUCAGUAGCGACCAUCAAGGAGAACAUCAUCAACAGGAGCAACAUCAUUGAUUUCCUCAUGUCCGGCUUAGUGUCUGAAACUGCAAUGUGCAAAAUGUUUAGUUGUUCAGGGUGGUGAGUGCUAAGAAAAAUCUUUCGAAAUCGAAAUCUUUAAGAUUUUCUCAAAAAAAGGGGAAUAAUUUUCAAGAAAAAUUCGUGAAUGAUAAAUUUUUCGUGAAUAAUUUUUAAGAAAAAAAUAAAUAAAAAAACUUUCAAUUUCUUCUAAUGGCAGAGUCAUGUAGUGGUACCACAAUCUUUUGGUCUUCCUCCCUUGUUGCCAGUAGAUAAAACUGCAAAUUCAAAAAAAAAAGAAAAUACACUAAAAAAUCUUCGUCCCCUGAAAGUCCACUGGCAGUAACAAUAGACGGCAUUUUUUUUAGAUAUUUGGUUCUGAGGUGAGAAAGCGCAAUUAAAAAAAAGCGGGAAAGUUUAAUACUGGUCGUAUUAGAAAAGCGCUCAGGUGUUAGUCUUUGUAUUUAGUGAAGAAUACAAAUUUUAUAUAGUUACACAUUUCUUUAUUUGCCCUUCUGAAUUUACAUUGUUAAUAAUUGAUUAAUAAUAUUGUUAAUAUACAUAGUUCCUAUAUUCUUUUGUUUUAUUCCUUACCACUGUUUAUUUUUAAUCCUCAUAUAAAAACCACCCAUUUGCUAAAUACAAUUCUAGCUGGAGCGCCUUUCAGCUAUGCAUUAACCACUGCAAAAAUGUCAAAGGAAAUCGACAAGCCCAGCGUGCAUGACGGUUAUUUUAACUGUAAUCUUCCGUUGCAUUUCUAAGGCGCAAUGAUACAACUAUUUGAACUCUCCGGAAUGCGUGAGGUAUCACACCUCAUUUGAAGGCGUUUUCAAAACAGCCAAGUUCCGAUUCCGGAUUAUCGUUUUGCAUACAAUAUUAAUAUCGUUAAUAUCAAUAAAUUCCAUCUUAUCCCUGUCUAUAUCCUGCUUUACAUCGAACGAUAUAUCGAAGAUCUAUAGACUAUACAAUAUUUUAUCCCUAU
This 2403-nucleotide long non-coding RNA is filed under the name Bemisia tabaci. RNAcentral describes it as "lncRNA ENSSSA2NGG011639". The record is from RNAcentral. Lineage: Eukaryota; Metazoa; Arthropoda; Insecta; Hemiptera; Aleyrodidae.